GAUGAACGCUGGCGGCGUGCCUAAUACAUGCAAGUCGAGCGAACAGACGAGGAGCUUGCUCCUCUGACGUUAGCGGCGGACGGGUGAGUAACACGUGGAUAACCUACCUAUAAGACUUGGAUAACUUCGGGAAACCUGAGCUAAUACCGGAUAAUAUAUUGAACCGCAUUGUUCAAUAGUGAAAGACGGUUUUGCUGUCACUUAUUGAUGGAUCCGCGCCGCAUUAGCUAGUUGGUAAGGUAACGGCUUACCAAGGCGACGAUGCGUAGCCGACCUGAGAGGGUGAUCGGCCACACUGGAACUGAGACACGGUCCAGACUCCUACGGGAGGCAGCAGUAGGGAAUCUUCCGCAAUGGGCGAAAGCCUGACGGAGCAACGCCGCGUGAGUGAUGAAGGUCUUCGGAUCGUAAAACUCUGUUAUUAGGGAAGAACAAAUGUGUAAGUAACUAUGCACGUCUUGACGGUACCUAAUCAGAAAGCCACGGCUAACUACGUG
Molecule: ribosomal RNA, 497 nt
Filed under: uncultured bacterium
Lineage: Bacteria
Description: partial 16S ribosomal RNA
Rfam family: Bacterial small subunit ribosomal RNA
Source: RNAcentral